This 433-nucleotide ribosomal RNA is filed under the name uncultured bacterium. Its description in RNAcentral is "partial 16S ribosomal RNA". It matches the Rfam family "Bacterial small subunit ribosomal RNA", at positions 29 to 507 of the family's 1533-position model. The record is from RNAcentral.
AACGAACGCUGGCGGCAUGCCUAACACAUGCAAGUCGAACGAGACCUUCGGGUCUAGUGGCGCACGGGUGCGUAACGCGUGGGAAUCUGCCCUUAGGUUCGGAAUAACUCCCCGAAAGGGGUGCUAAUACCGGAUAAUGUCUUCGGACCAAAGAUUUAUCGCCUUUGGAUGGGCCCGCGUUGGAUUAGCUAGUUGGUAGGGUAAAAGCCUACCAAGGCGACGAUCCAUAGCUGGUCUGAGAGGAUGAUCAGCCACACUGGGACUGAGACACGGCCCAGACUCCUACGGGAGGCAGCAGUGGGGAAUAUUGGACAAUGGGCGAAAGCCUGAUCCAGCAAUGCCGCGUGAGUGAUGAAGGCCUUAGGGUUGUAAAGCUCUUUUACCCGGGAUGAUAAUGACAGUACCGGGAGAAUAAGCGCCGGCUAACUCCGUG